Long non-coding RNA from Silurus meridionalis, 3658 nucleotides. RefSeq lists it as uncharacterized. The transcript is spliced from 2 exons. The record is from RefSeq and is a predicted model, not a curated record. NCBI's taxonomy places the organism in Eukaryota, Metazoa, Chordata, Actinopteri, Siluriformes, Siluridae.
UACAUAUAUAUUGCUACAGAUCUGUUAAAGGAAUAUGGAUUAAUACAACCUAAUCUCUUUGCAUGAAUAUUGGUAUUAUUAUUAAUAAUUUAUUAAUUUGUUCAUUUUGAAAAUUUGACAUGAAAACACAUAAGUUGGACAAAAGCUGUACAUUUUGUAGGGGUAUAUGGUAAAACUGGAACAGAGGAGGAGGAGGAGGAGAAGGAGGGAUGAAUUUCCUAUUUGAGGCAGGUCGGUGGGGGGAUGGGACUAUUUGUAAGGAAUGCGGGAGGGGGCAGGUCUCGUUGAGUGAGAAAAGGAAGGGAAAGAAGGAGGGAAGGAGGGAACAUCCCACCCAGAGUGACAUUUUUACUCCUUGGUCGGUGUAUCUACAAGGUUAGGGGCAGUUGAACUUCUACUUUCAUCUCAUCUAAUCAGUUAAAAGACCGAGUGAGAAGUUUGGCCAUUGUUGGAAUGUUGCAUGCACAAAGUGUUUCCUGCAGACUAUUAGGGGUUUCGAGGUGGUGGGCUACAACUGUAACAUUGGUUUGGUUUGAAUUAAAGCACCCGACGAUGGUUUAAAUUACAGACUUCAUACUUCCCACAUAACAUCAUGCAUAUGGAGAUGUACACGCAGGCUCCUUUUAGCCAUCAAGUGCAUGUUUAAUCAUCUUCACCAAGAAAUGAUUUGUUUCUUAGCUGUUUCACUGAAAACAGGAAAUGAACAUUUUUCUGACAGUAGGCCUGGCGUUAUAGUCUAUUCUAUAGAGUAUAUUUGGUUUUCUAUUGGUUCUUUUUUAUGUAUCCUGGCAACAGCAGACCUACCCCAUACCCUAGCCCACCCCUAUUUCCCCCCACUUCUCCUAUUCCUCAUCCCCCUCCGCUUCCUUCCUCUCUUGCGGUGGUCUCGGGGACUCCCAAGGCAGCACGUUAGCGAGUGCACAUACAAUCAAAUAAAGCCAAAUGUGAAUAAACAACCUCACUUGCUCCAUUGGUUAAUCCAGCUCAUUGUGACGUGUUAAUUAUAAAAUAAUUAACAUGAUGACAUGAUCAAUUAGGCUCCCUGCCUUUUUUUCCCCCUUCUUCACUAAAUGGCGAUGUGGGCCACAGUCACACUCUGAUCUAUCAUUAUGCACCUUCUAAGCUAUAAAUUGUGAGAUUUAUCAAUCAACAUUGCGGUUACUUUCUUGGUUACAAUGGUGGUGAAAUGGGGCGUGUUUUCUGUCCAUUUAACCUGACGUCACGACUAGAAUUAAGGAAAAUUCAUGGAGGAAAAAAAAAAUCCUUGUGUGGCUCAAGGCGCAUGCGCAGCACACUCACUUAGGAAACACGGGGCCUUUGCGACACCUUUUCCUGCUCUUCAUGAUCAAGGAUCGACUUUGAUAGAAAGCCAAAUGCGUUGGUUUCAUUGAUGCCAUUCAUAUUUAUGAAUACGGCUCAUGUCUCCGUUUCCACCAGAAUUCAUUACAGGCCUCUAUGGUGAAAGAAGGGCUCGUUCUUCUUGAAAAAAAAAAAAUCAGCAAUACUUGGCAUAGGACAUGUACGAUCAUGCAUGUCACUUCAAGGUGAAAUCCCCCAAGAGAGGGGAGAAAAAAACAAAAAACUAUUCUGUUGGAGCAUGUCAUUUGCUCGCAGGCACACGUUGGUAUGUGAGGAAUUAAAGAGUUUCCCGACGACAGAGUAAAACAUAUGUGCUUUAGUCAUUUGGCCUGCCUUGUUGCUAUGUAUCAAGAAGGUGAAUCAGGAUCCAGUGGUUUUGGAUGGAGUGCUUGCUGAUCUCACGUGCUCUGCAGCAUUUUAAACUACACUGAAAUGAGGAAAUGAGUGGAUGUCAUAUGGGCUAAUUGUAUUUUAGGGCUGCUUCAGCAAAGGUUUGGUUUAUCACUAAUGGCAAUAAUAAAAUAUAUGUUGUAAUGAAUUGGACAGAACAUUAUGUAUGUUUAGCAGGAUUUCAUUUUGAGGAAAUUUCUAAGUGGUGCAACACCAUGUAUUAUCAUCUGCAUUUGAUUUCGACACAUUCCAUUUUCUUUAUUAAAUACCACGAUCAAAUGUUAUACAGGCUGAUGUCAAAUGGUCAUUACUAAUUAUGAGAAAUUAUACUUUUACAUUGUAAUACAAAUUAUACAAGAAAUGGAGCUAUAUAUUGAGCAUAUGCUUUAAAAUGUUUAUAAUGGAUUUACAAUAUGAAAUCCACCUUGCAGGCGAGACCCUAUCAAUAUUGCCUCUGCUUUUUUAAAUGUAAAUGUAGUAGUGCAAUAUUGCUUAUAGGGUCUUGACUUUAAGGGUUAUCUACAAUACCAUGUGUACGUCAUUUGACCGCUUUUAUUUAGUUUUUGGUAAAAAUUUAAGAAAGUGCAGUAAUGGUAUAACUGAUAAUCUGCAGAUAUGACUGAUGUGCCAUCAAGAAUUUAUUAAAGUAAUUUAUUAUCUACCAUUUGUUUAAUAAUAUAAAUUUAUAGAAAUGCGGCCCUGAGUUUCAUAGAUAAAGAAACAAUAUAAUAAUAUUUUACAUUUAAUCUGGCUGAAUUAUAUCAUUAUUUAAUUACAGAAUUUUGAAUUUUUUUUUUUAAACUCAAGUUUUAAAAAUCCAAAUGGGUAACUUUAAUUGUAAUCUUAACAAAACAUCAAUAAUAUUUGACCAUUGGAUGUAUUUUUGGAUUAAAAACUAGAUCAUUUGAUCUGAUUCGUAAAUAAAUCUGUAAAUAAAUCUAGAAAGAUUGUCUGUUGGGGUUUGUUUGUGUUACAGCAUGACGGUGCUUCAUUGAUCCCCAAGGAUUAUUGCUGAAACAGUAAACAUUCAAUCAAAAAUAAAUGCUAAAUAAAAGGUUCUGUUACAUUUUUCCAAUGAUGGUUUGUUAUAUCUGCAAACAUUGAACUCAUUACAGAAAGUGUGUUUUAAAAACACAUGACCCUGGAGGCAUGUUGGUACACUGAUUUGAUGUUUUCCCACCAUUUAAUCAUGACAAUCAAGUGAAAUGAUUAUAUAAAGUAUUUAUUUAGACAAAUCCAGACAUGCUGUGGAUGGACGUUUAUCUUUCAGAGAAGCAUGAAAUAAAGCACAUAUGGAUCCAUUACCAUAUCUCUGUGGGUUUAAACUUAUUUCAGACCUCAUGUUAAAAUAAAUACACAUUAAUACAUUUUUUUAAUUAUAGUGACUGCCAUGUGGAGUAGGUAAUAUAUGGCUAUUAUUUAGCUGUUUUGGUUACCAACCACUCAUCUUAUGCUAGCAUUUAAUUAAUAGCAAUGAUAACUUCUAUUGCCUGUCUAUUUCUGACAAAAAGAACAAAAAUUGUGUGUGUGUGUGUGUGUGUGUGUGUGUGUGUGUGUGUGUGUGUGUGUGUAUGAGUAUGAGUAUGUCUGGAUUAGCUGCUGUAUCCACUGGCUGUUAGCCGUCUGUUGCCUGACACUCUUUCUCUGUUGCACUACUGUGGGAGAUGCAGCUAGCAGUGCAAUAAUGAAAGGGCAUCAGUCCACUAGACUAAAAAACACACAUACAAACACAUACCUACCUACCUAUCUAUAUAAUGUCCUGCAAUGUGUUUGUUUUACACUGAUGUUGCUGAUCAGCACACACAACUCAUAAACACUAGUUUACCCACAAUUAUGUAAAAUGUGUGUGCUUCUUCUUUGCGUAUUUUAUGCUGUAAAAUCUGAUAUAAAUAAAUGGUGAAAUAAUUGA